AUAGUUGCGGGAUUCAUGCGUGCAGACGUAGAAAUGGUAUGGGGAUGUGCAGUGACCCUUUUUAGCUAAAAGCCCACAGGACAGAAAUCGAGAUCAAGAGGGAGGCUGACACAACAACAAAGACAAUCCAAAUGUGACUAGAGCAAACAACCUUGUACUAGACCUCCAGUACUGGUUAUUUUUGGAAAUUUGACGUUCCCAGCACGAGAAUCCCUUCCCAAUCGAGAAAGGCAGAUAUUUUGCGGCUUUUGUACAUCCACCACGUCGGAUUGAAGUGUCGGAUUUUUGUCUCCAUUGUCAUCGCUACCCUCGCAGCUGAUUUUUAGCCAAUCGUCUCGCCCCUCCCACUCCUGCACCAUGUUUUGUUGACCUCGAGGAUUGCAUCGUAUUGUACUGUUGUUAAAUUAAUCGAGAAAUGUAGCAAUUUUGAAGAACUUUUUUCAAGUAGUUAUUCUGUUGUAACCAUAUCAGCAAUUUUGUAGUGUGGUUCGAUCCUGUCGUCAGUUUUGUGUAAGGUCAAAUCAACAAAAGGGCAAAAAAGGAAAAAGAUAGUUGUAGUAAUAGCAAUUAGGUGCGAGUAUCAAUACACGGUCAGCACGAAAAGAAAAAAAACAAUACCAACGUGCAGAUCCGUUGUAGUCUAGGUGGUUAGGAUACUCGGCUCUCACCCGAGAGACCCGGGUUCAAGUCCCGGCAACGGAAGAUCAUUUUUUCAAAGGACAGAAUAGAGUUUUGCUACCCG
Long non-coding RNA from Coffea arabica (coffee), 742 nucleotides. RefSeq lists it as uncharacterized. The record is from RefSeq and is a predicted model, not a curated record. Lineage: Eukaryota; Viridiplantae; Streptophyta; Magnoliopsida; Gentianales; Rubiaceae.